RNAcentral lists this non-coding RNA (71 nucleotides) under Nitrospirillum amazonense. Lineage: Bacteria; Pseudomonadati; Pseudomonadota; Alphaproteobacteria; Rhodospirillales; Azospirillaceae. The record is from RNAcentral.
AACCGCCGUAUACGGAACCGUACGUACGGUGGUGUGGGAGGGGGAGGCCGUGAGGCCUCUCCCUACCCGAU